GCCAGGCAUGGUGACUCAUGCCUGUAAUCCCAGCACUUUGGGAGGCUGAGGCAGGAGGAUUACUUGAGCCCAGGAAUUCGGCCUGGGCAACAUAGCAAGACCUUGUCUCUU
Gorilla gorilla gorilla (western lowland gorilla) is the source of this 111-nucleotide non-coding RNA. It matches the Rfam family "Metazoan signal recognition particle RNA". Rfam says of the family: The signal recognition particle (SRP) is a universally conserved ribonucleoprotein. The record is from Rfam. NCBI's taxonomy places the organism in Eukaryota, Metazoa, Chordata, Mammalia, Primates, Hominidae.